CGAAACAGCGGCCUCCAUUACAACAAUUCAAGGUAUCCAGGCAUACUUAAGUCCACAUGCAAAACCUCAAAUAUAUUUAUGAAUUCAAUUAUGAUAUCACAUGUGCAUUAGGAACAUAAAGCGGUGAUAGUAACGCAAACCUGUUGGCAAUUGAAUUGCAACCUCGAAUUGGCCGAUCGGAUCGAAUUGAGCGGAAGUGACCUUGCUGCCGU
Molecule: long non-coding RNA, 212 nt
Filed under: Lathyrus oleraceus (garden pea)
Lineage: Eukaryota; Viridiplantae; Streptophyta; Magnoliopsida; Fabales; Fabaceae
Description: Pisum sativum (pea) long non-coding RNA (PSAT_LNC007883)
Source: RNAcentral